AAGAUACUAGUAAAAUUAUUACACUAACUUGUCAAGCUAAAAUUAUGAGGUUAUUACUCAUGUAUCUUG
RNAcentral lists this transfer RNA (69 nucleotides) under Geotria australis. Its description in RNAcentral is "tRNA-Asp". The record is from RNAcentral. Lineage: Eukaryota; Metazoa; Chordata; Hyperoartia; Petromyzontiformes; Geotriidae.